RNAcentral lists this ribosomal RNA (276 nucleotides) under uncultured bacterium. RNAcentral's name for it is "partial 16S ribosomal RNA". It matches the Rfam family "Bacterial small subunit ribosomal RNA", at positions 79 to 353 of the family's 1533-position model. The record is from RNAcentral.
CUAAGUUUGAUGGCGACCGGCGCACGGGUGAGUAACACGUAUCCAACCUGCCGAUGACUCGGGGAUAGCCUUUCGAAAGAAAGAUUAAUACCCGAUGGCCUAGUUCUUCCGCAUGGUGGAACUAUUAAAGAAUUUCGGUCAUCGAUGGGGAUGCGUUCCAUUAGGUUGUUGGCGGGGGUAACGGCCCACCAAGCCUUCGAUGGAUAGGGGUUCUGAGAGGAAGGUCCCCCACAUUGGAACUGAGACACGGUCCAAACUCCUACGGGAGGCAGCAUG